Long non-coding RNA from Mesoplodon densirostris (Blainville's beaked whale), 3133 nucleotides. RefSeq lists it as uncharacterized. The record is from RefSeq and is a predicted model, not a curated record. The transcript has 4 exons. Lineage: Eukaryota; Metazoa; Chordata; Mammalia; Artiodactyla; Ziphiidae.
CGCGGGGACCAGGAAGCAGGAAGUGACCUGCCUCCUCGAAAGGGUUCCGGGGUCUCCCCGGCCGGACAGGGGGCUGGGGCCGAGUGCCUCCACCCAGAUCCCUUCUUCUCCAGCCCCCGCAGGGUAUGACACAAAGUGAAGACGCGGACUAGAGAGCCUGAGAGCUCAGCCCCACCGGCUCGGGGGUUCCCUGGACCUCGCAACUGGGGAGAGGAGGCCGGCGGAGGAUGGAGCCAACGUAUCUCCCGGGCCGGGCCCACCCUCGACUGUGCAGACCGGAGAACCCACCCAAGACCCUCCCCGGACGCGAGUCUGACAGGGACACGGGGGGAAACGGUGCCCGUGAGCACUCACCAUCUCCGCCGCGGCCCCCCGCCUCUUCCUGUCCCGGCCGGGCUCCCUCUCCGUGUUUUCCUCCAGCCCCACUUCCGGCGCUCAGCGCUGUCUCAUUGUACGCUAUUGGAAUUCGGCAGUGCCCCGUUCCGAGCGCUCCGCCGCGCACACCGGAAACUCUCGCCACGCCGCCGCUCCCGUUUCCGCCGCCGCCGCCGCCGCCGUCGCCUCGCGGGCGCAUUUCCCGGGAGUAGGGUGUUGGGCGUUGGGUUGGGGUCGGAGUGCAGGCUCUCCGCUCUUGUUCGCUCGGAGCUGUCCUCGCCUGGGCUCCUCUCUCUCCUGUGCUUUUAAAAGCACCGGGGAGGCGUGCGGAGGAAGCCUCUGGUUCUCUGGGAGAGAAGCGAAGCCCGCGGUCGUGGCGUAGCCGCGUGCCCAGGUCGGCUCGGAGGCUCCCUUUGCCCCUGGAUGCUCCUGGUUACCUCCAGGGCAAGUUCAGCGUGGGUCUGAGGCCUCGUGGCGCUCGUGCUGUUUUUCUGAUAAUUCGAGUGAUUGAAAGCCUCAGUGAGGUCUUAAUGGCCGACCCUAGCUUUUAAGCCUCCGCUGUUCAUCCAGAUCACAGUAUGGCUCAGAGAAAGAAAUGCUGUGCUUUUUUCUUGGAUUGUGUACGGAUUUGUUUCUCUUAAAAACAAAAUCUGGUUUCGCAGAAAAUGUGUAAACGCAAAGGAUGACCAAGGAGGGCAUUCAUAUUCGAAUUUUCAAACGGAGAAUGUUUUAAUGCAACUAGCAAACAACGGGGUUCCUUUCUUCUCUCUUUCUUUUCCAUUGACUUUACCUUCCUUGCUAUCUGCCGUGUUCUAAAUGCUUGGAAAGCCUCGAGCAACUAAUAAAAUUAGGGAGCUUUGAGAAAAUGCAACAGUUUUGAUUUCUCUUCUCUUUAAGGGUAUUUAAAUUUAAAUCCAUGAGAUUCUGUGGGGAUAAUGGUCUUAAAAUGAUCACAUUAGUACUGGCUGUUGCCAGGCACCGUUCUGAGGGCUUUGCAAAUAAUUACUCAUUUAAUCCUCACAACAGUCCCACUAGGAGAAUAGCAUUUAUCCCCCUUUUAAAGAUGGUGGGCGAAAUAGCGUUUAUGGUGAAGUAAAUGGAACCGCUGGAAUCCAAACCCUAAUGAGGCAGAGUCUGUUCUUAACCACUGUCUAUACUAAAGGUGAUUUAAAACAGAUUCAUCUUGAGGAUAAAUGAGGCUCUCUAAAACAAGAUGCAAUACUAAUCAAAAGAUAUUGACAGAUGUUGAAUUCCUGAUAUGUGCCUGAUAUAUGAGAGAAAUAGUCACAGUCCCUGUUUUCAAAGUGUUGAAAAAUAUGGUAAAGGCAAACAUGGAAGCAACCUAAAUGUCCAUCGACAGAUGAAUGGAUAAAGAAUAUGUGGUACAUUGGGACUUCCCUGGUGGUGCAGUAGUUAAGAAUCUGCCUGCCAACGCAGGGGACACAGGUUCCAGCACUGGUCUGGGAAGAUCCCAUAUGCCACGGAGCAACUAAGCCCAUGCGCCAAAACUACUGAGCCUAUGCACCACAACUACUGAGCCCACGUGCCACAACUACUGAAGCCCGCACGCCUAGAGCCCGUGCUCCUCAACAAGAGAAGCCACUGCAGUGAGAAGCCCGUGCACCAAAACAAAGAGCAGCCCCCGCUCGCUGCAACUAGAGAAAGCCCACAUGCAGCAACAAAGACCCAAUGCAGCCAAAAAAAAAUAUGUGGUAUAUAUAUAUAAUGGAAUAUUCUCAGCCUAAGAAAAGAAUGAAAUAAUGCCAUUUACAGUAAUGUGGAUGGACCUAGAGAUCAUCAUGCUAAUUAAUCAGAAAUAGACUCACAGGGACUUCCCUGGUGGCACAGUGGUUAAGAAUCGCCUGCCAGUGCAGGGGACAUGAGUUUGAGCCCGGUCCGGGAAGAUCCCACAUGCCACAAAGCAACUAAGCCCGUGUGCUGAAGCCCGUGCACCUAGAGCCCGUGCUCUGCAAGAAGAGAAGCCACUGCAACAAGAAACCCGUGCACCUCAACGAAGAGUAGCCCCCCACCUCACUGCAACUGUAGAAAGCCUGUGCACAGCAACAAAGACCCAAUGCGGCCAAAAAUAAAUAAAUAAAUAUUUUAAAAAAAGAAAUAGACUCACAGACAUGGAAAACAAACUUAUGAUUACCAAAGGGGAAACAGGGGAGGGAUAAAUCAAGAGUUUGGGAUUAACAUAUACACACUACUAUAUAUAAAAUAAAUAACCAACAAGGACCUACUAUAUAGCAUUGGGAACUAUACUCAAUAUUUUGUAAUAACGUAUAAGGGAAAAACUUUUCAAAGAAUUUUGGUGGUUUUAUGUACACAAGUAGUUUUGUAAUGUAUUAGAGGGCAGUGACCGUCAAGAUAAAGCAUUAUUUUGUAAUGAUAUUGCAAAACAGUUUGAUACGUGAGAUUAAAAAAAACGUUAUCUGAUUUGAAUAAGUCGUGUAUUUGCCUUUGCAAUUUGGAGAAAGGUUAAUAAUAAUCUCUUUAUUUGGUGUUACAAAAGGCUCUCACUUUAACCUGUGAGGUAUGUUGGGCAAGGGUUAUUACCCUAUUUUAUAGAUGAGGAAAGUUGAGACUGAGAGAGGUUUGGGGAAUAACCCAAAGCCAUGUGACUAAUAAGUGCCAGAGUCAGAAUUAAAACUCAGGCUGUUUGAUUCCUAAUUCAGUAUUCUUUAAGUAACGGAAGACUAAAUACUGAAUUAUGAAUUUACAUACUGGGCAUUUGUAUUUUGAUGGUGGUUCAGAA